UGGACAAUGGUAGGAGAGCGUUCUAAGGGCGUUGAAGCAUGAUCGUAAGGACAUGUGGAGCGCUUAGAAGUGAGAAUGCCGGUGUGAGUAGCGAAAGACGGGUGAGAAUCCCGUCCACCGAUUGACUAAGGUUUCCAGAGGAAGGCUCGUCCGCUCUGGGUUAGUCGGGUCCUAAGCUGAGGCCGACAGGCGUAGGCGAUGGAUAACAGGUUGAUAUUCCUGUACCACCUAUAAUCGUUUUAAUCGAUGGGGGGACGCAGUAGGAUAGGCGAAGCGUGCGAUUGGAUUGCACGUCUAAGCAGUAAGGCUGAGUAUUAGGCAAAUCCGGUACUCGUUAAGGCUGAGCUGUGAUGGGGAGAAGACAUUGUGUCUUCGAGUCGUUGAUUUCACACUGCCGAGAAAAGCCUCUAGAUAGAAAAUAGGUGCCCGUACCGCAAACCGACACAGGUAGUCAAGAUGAGAAUUCUAAGGUGAGCGAGCGAACUCUCGUUAAGGAACUCGGCAAAAUGACCCCGUAACUUCGGGAGAAGGGGUGCUCUUUAGGGUUAACGCCCAGAAGAGCCGCAGUGAAUAGGCCCAAGCGACUGUUUAUCAAAAACACAGGUCUCUGCUAAACCGUAAGGUGAUGUAUAGGGGCUGACGCCUGCCCGGUGCUGGAAGGUUAAGAGGAGUGGUUAGCUUCUGCGAAGCUACGAAUCGAAGCCCCAGUAAACGGCGGCCGUAACUAUAACGGUCCUAAGGUAGCGAAAUUCCUUGUCGGGUAAGUUCCGACCCGCACGAAAGGCGUAACGAUUUGGGCACUGUCUCAACGAGAGACUCGGUGAAAUCAUAGUACCUGUGAAGAUGCAGGUUACCCGCGACAGGACGGAAAGACCCCGUGGAGCUUUACUGUAGCCUGAUAUUGAAAUUCGGCACAGCUUGUACAGGAUAGGUAGGAGCCUUUGAAACGUGAGCGCUAGCUUACGUGGAGGCGCUGGUGGGAUACUACCCUAGCUGUGUUGGCUUUCUAACCCGCACCACUUAUCGUGGUGGGAGACAGUGUCAGGCGGGCAGUUUGACUGGGGCGGUCGCCUCCUAAAAGGUAACGGAGGCGCUCAAAGGUUCCCUCAGAAUGGUUGGAAAUCAUUCAUAGAGUGUAAAGGCAUAAGGGAGCUUGACUGCGAGACCUACAAGUCGAGCAGGGUCGAAAGACGGACUUAGUGAUCCGGUGGUUCCGCAUGGAAGGGCCAUCGCUCAACGGAUAAAAGCUACCCCGGGGAUAACAGGCUUAUCUCCCCCAAGAGUUCACAUCGACGGGGAGGUUUGGCACCUCGAUGUCGGCUCAUCGCAUCCUGGGGCUGUAGUCGGUCCCAAGGGUUGGGCUGUUCGCCCAUUAAAGCGGUACGCGAGCUGGGUUCAGAACGUCGUGAGACAGUUCGGUCCCUAUCCGUCGUGGGCGUAGGAAAUUUGAGAGGAGCUGUCCUUAGUACGAGAGGACCGGGAUGGACAUACCUCUGGUGUACCAGUUGUCGUGCCAACGGCAUAGCUGGGUAGCUAUGUGUGGACGGGAUAAGUGCUGAAAGCAUCUAAGCAUGAAGCCCCCCUCAAGAUGAGAUUUCCCAACUUCGGUUAUAAGAUCCCUCAAAGAUGAUGAGGUUAAUAGGUUCGAGGUGGAAGCAUGGUGACAUGUGGAGCUGACGAAUACUAAUCGAUCGAAGACUUAAUCAA
Molecule: ribosomal RNA, 1707 nt
Filed under: Staphylococcus aureus
Lineage: Bacteria; Bacillati; Bacillota; Bacilli; Caryophanales; Staphylococcaceae
Description: bacterial LSU rRNA
Rfam family: Bacterial large subunit ribosomal RNA
Source: RNAcentral